Molecule: unclassified non-coding RNA, 345 nt
Filed under: soil metagenome
Description: partial contains 5.8S ribosomal RNA, internal transcribed spacer 2, and large subunit ribosomal RNA
Rfam family: 5.8S ribosomal RNA (bases 1-120)
Source: RNAcentral
GAUGAAGAACGCAGCGAAAUGAGAUACGUAAUGUGAAUUGCAGAAUUCAGUGAAUCAUCGAGUCUUUGAACGCACAUUGCGCCCCCUGGUAUUCCGGGGGGCAUGCCUGUCCGAGCGUCAUUGCUGCCCUCAAGCACGGCUUGUGUGUUGGGCCUCCGUCCUCCUCCCGGGGGACGGGCCCGAAAGGCAGCGGCGGCACCGCGUCCGGUCCUCGAGCGUAUGGGGCUUCGUCACCCGCUCUUGUAGGCCCGGCCGGCGCUUGCCGACACAUCAAUCUUUUUUCCAGGUUGACCUCGGAUCAGGUAGGGAUACCCGCUGAACUUAAGCAUAUCAAUAAGCGGAGGA